RNAcentral lists this long non-coding RNA (738 nucleotides) under Gallus gallus (chicken). RNAcentral's name for it is "lncRNA (ENSGALG00010000400.1)". Lineage: Eukaryota; Metazoa; Chordata; Aves; Galliformes; Phasianidae. The record is from RNAcentral.
GUGAAGUAAAUGGAUUUUGGGGUGAAAUGAGGGGAUUUGGGGUGAAAUAAAGGGAUUUCGGGGGGAAAUGAGGAGGUUUGGGGUGGAAUGAAGAGGUUUUGGGGUGAAAUAAAGGGAUUUUGGGGGUGAAAUGAGGGGAUUUGGGGUGAAAUAAAGGGAUUUUGGGGGGGAAAUGAGGGGAUUUGGGGUGAAAGAAAUGGAUUUUGGGGAUGAAAUGAGGGGAUUUGGGGUGGUAUGAAGAGGUUUUGGGGUGAAAUAAAGGGAUUUUGGGGGUGAAAUGAGGGCACCUGGAAAGAAUUAAAGGGAUUUGGGGUAAAAUGAGGGGAUGUGGGGUGAAAUAAAGGGACUUAUGGGGUGAAAUGAGGGGAUUUUAGGGGGAAACGGACCCAAUUUGGGUCGAAACGAUUGGAAUUUGGGGCAACGAAGCGGCACUGAAAGGUGUUGAAGGCAUUUUGGGGGGGAAUAAUGCGAUUUUGGGGCGGAAAAAUGCGAUUUUUUGGGAAAAAAGUGGGGAGAAUUUGGGACGCAAGGAAUGCACUGAGGGAUACGGAGAGCUUUUUGGGGUGAAAUACGUGGAUUUUGGGGACAGAACACAGGCUUGGGGGCUGGGCGGGACGUUUUGGGGUAGAAAAACGGGUUUUUGGGAAGGAAAAGUGCGCCUGAGGGCUGAAAUCGAAGGAUUUCAAGCCGGGAAGGGCGGAUUUUGGGGCGAAAAAGUGCGGUUUUGGGGCUCUUUCC